RNAcentral lists this long non-coding RNA (925 nucleotides) under Pogona vitticeps (central bearded dragon). Its description in RNAcentral is "lncRNA (ENSPVIG00000018886.1)". The record is from RNAcentral. Lineage: Eukaryota; Metazoa; Chordata; Lepidosauria; Squamata; Agamidae.
AACAGAUGUAACCUGUGCAGGGGCUGCCAAGGGCCCCGGCAUACAAGACUUUCCAGCAGAGUAGACAGAACCUUCAGUGACUCUUGACCUUGAGGUCUUUCUUCAUUUUGGGAACUCCAUUGGUCAGUUCCCCUUCUUGGGAAACCUCCGUGAUAGCCAUGUUGACACCUUUGAGGCCUCCCCCUGCCCCAUGUUGUUACUGCAGAUUAGCUUGGUUGCAUUAACACUGCUCAGAAUGUACAGUAGCUGCCAACCUUUAGGCUGAAGGAACCAGCUCAAGGCUUUGCCCCCCCCCCUCCCGUUGGGUUCUGCGAUGGGUCGCUUAGAUGACCAGGCCAAGAAGCGGAUUGUGGAGUUGCGCAAAGCCGGUUUGAGUUUCCGCAAGAUCAAAAAGGUGCUGGAGGUGGACAAUAUCCGCGUCACGCCGCAAGCUAUCUACCUGUUCUUGAAGCGCAAGAAUGUCCAGCCCAGCGCCCCCUCGUCCGGUUCCGAUCCUCCGCCAGGCCUCAAGAAAGGAAGCAGAGAUGCUGUCUUAGAUCAGGUCAGCUGGGAGGAGGAGGAGGAGGAUCAGUGCUGGAAGCUGCCCCCGGAAAAUGAAGCUGGGCACGCCAGGCAAAGAGAGGAUGAUGUCUCCGCGGCAGGAGUCAGCCUGAGCUGUGAGAUGCCACUUUGGCAUGACAGCCGAGGUGAUGAGGAAGGCAUCAGAAUCGUUGGGGUGGCUUCCUUGAACCAAGACGAAGGGCAGUUUGGAAGGCAGAGCGCUACACGUGGAGGCUUCUCCAAGGGAUCGCAACCAGGCUCAAAUACUGUGUUAGGAAGAAAUCGAGAUGAAAAACAUUCUGAAGUCAACAGACAGAAAGCCCUCCUGAUGCUGGGACUCAUUUUGGAGGCAGCUUCCCUUCCUUCUCCCGUUUUCCUUUCCUAG